UGAACGCUGGCGGUAUGCUUAACACAUGCAAGUCGAACGCGAAAGAGACCUUCGGGUCUUGAGUAGAGUGGCGGACGGGUGAGUAACGCGUAGGAACCUACCUGGUAGCGGGGGACAACCUGGUGAAAACCAGGCUAAUACCGCAUACGCCCUACGGGGGAAAGCAGGGGAUCUUCGGACCUUGCACUAUCAGAUGGGCCUGCGUCGGAUUAGCUAGUUGGUGAGGUAAUGGCUCACCAAGGCGACGAUCCGUAGCUGGUUUGAGAGAAUGAUCAGCCACACUGGGACUGAGACACGGCCCAGACUCCUACGGGAGGCAGCAGUGGGGAAUAUUGGACAAUGGGGGCAACCCUGAUCCAGCAAUACCGCGUGUGUGAAGAAGGCCCGAGGGUUGUAAAGCACUUUCAAUUGUGAAGAAAAGCCUAAGGUUAAUAACCUUGGGUCUUGACGUUAACUUUAGAAGAAGCACCGGCUAACUCC
RNAcentral lists this ribosomal RNA (480 nucleotides) under uncultured bacterium. Its description in RNAcentral is "bacterial SSU rRNA". It matches the Rfam family "Bacterial small subunit ribosomal RNA", at positions 30 to 504 of the family's 1533-position model. The record is from RNAcentral.